RNAcentral lists this ribosomal RNA (464 nucleotides) under uncultured bacterium. RNAcentral describes it as "partial 16S ribosomal RNA". It matches the Rfam family "Bacterial small subunit ribosomal RNA", at positions 28 to 507 of the family's 1533-position model. The record is from RNAcentral.
GACGAACGCUGGCGGCGUGCUUAACACAUGCAAGUCGAACGGUAAGGCCCCAGCUUGCUGGGGUACACGAGUGGCGAACGGGUGAGUAACACGUGGGUGACCUGCCCCGCACUUCGGGAUAAGCCUGGGAAACUGGGUCUAAUACCGGAUAGGACCGCACCGUGAGGGUGUGGUGGAAAGUUUUUCGGUGUGGGAUGGGCCCGCGGCCUAUCAGCUUGUUGGUGGGGUAAUGGCCUACCAAGGCGGCGACGGGUAGCCGGCCUGAGAGGGUGGACGGCCACAUUGGGACUGAGACACGGCCCAGACUCCUACGGGAGGCAGCAGUGGGGAAUAUUGCACAAUGGGCGGAAGCCUGAUGCAGCGACGCCGCGUGGGGGAUGACGGCCUUCGGGUUGUAAACUCCUUUCACCAUCGACGAAGGUUUUCUGACGGUAGAUGGAGAAGAAGCACCGGCUAACAACGUG